This is a long non-coding RNA of Ixodes scapularis (black-legged tick), 263 nucleotides long. RefSeq lists it as uncharacterized. Lineage: Eukaryota; Metazoa; Arthropoda; Arachnida; Ixodida; Ixodidae. The record is from RefSeq and is a predicted model, not a curated record. The transcript has 3 exons.
AGCAGCCUGACUUGCGUCGCAGUUGGAACCGCAGCGUUGGACAAGGCACUGCACCCGGAUGACGCUGGAGGUUGAUUUGCGGGGGCGGGACUGUGCUCGUGGCCUCCAGCAGUGCAGACUGUGAUGCAGAUGGGCCAGCAGCCUGACUUGCGUCGCAGUUGGAACCGCAGCGUUGGACAAGGCACUGCACCCGGAUGACGCUGGAGGUUGAUUUGCGGGGGCGGGACUGUGCUCGUGGCCUCCAGCAGUGCAGACUGUGAUGC